Long non-coding RNA from Cyprinus carpio (common carp), 543 nucleotides. RefSeq lists it as uncharacterized. Lineage: Eukaryota; Metazoa; Chordata; Actinopteri; Cypriniformes; Cyprinidae. The transcript is spliced from 3 exons. The record is from RefSeq and is a predicted model, not a curated record.
AUAUAUCAUAUUAUUUUGAAUUAGACUGUUGUCAAAAUGAAUGUCUGCGUUAAAAUGUUUUUGUUUCCUUUGGAUGUUUGUAGUAAGUGGCGUGUCAAAUUGCCCUUGUCUCAAGACAUCAAAUUGGGUUCCCCGCAAGGAACAGAUUGAAAGUUACAUGAUACAAAAAGCACCCGUCUGUCAUAUUGAUGCAGUUUUAUUUAAAACAGUCAGUGGUCGUUUCAUUUGCGCCGAUCCACUAAAGGCUAGGAGGGAAAUACCCAUGGAAUUUGUGGACAAGAAGAAGAAGGCAGUUAAAAUGACAGCACAUCCCAUAAACGCUGCACCAACAUUUACAACAGCAUCAACACCGGAUACAGCAUCAGACUGGAAUGGACAGGAUGAACUAAGAACUACUGAACCUGAGCUAUUAGAAUUUGUUAACACAUCAAUUGCCCGUUUACUUUGCACUUGUUUGAAGACGUCGGAAGCUGUUCUCCACAAGGAAGAUAUCAAAAGUUACAAGAUACAUAAAGCAGACAUCUGCCAUAUUGAUGCCAUUGA